GGUGAAGAACGUAGCGAAAUGCGAUAAGUAAUGUGAAUUGCAGAAUUCGGUGAAUCAUCGAAUCUUUGAACGCACAUUGCGCCCGCCAGUAUUCUGGCGGGCAUGCCUGUCUGAGCGUCAUUUCAACCCUCAUGCCCCUAGGGCGUGGUGUUGGGGAUCGGCCAAAGCCCGCGAGGGACGGCCGGCCCCUAAAUCUAGUGGCGGACCCGUCGUGGCCUCCUCUGCGAAGUAGUGAUAUUCCGCAUCGGAGAGCGACGAGCCCCUGCCGUUAAACCCCCAACUUUCCAAGGUUGACCUCAGAUCAGGUAGGAAUACCCGCUGAACUUAAGCAUAUCAAUAAGCGGAGGA
RNAcentral lists this unclassified non-coding RNA (348 nucleotides) under soil metagenome. Its description in RNAcentral is "partial contains 5.8S ribosomal RNA, internal transcribed spacer 2, and large subunit ribosomal RNA". The stretch from base 3 to 120 matches the Rfam family "5.8S ribosomal RNA", at positions 37 to 154 of the family's 154-position model. The record is from RNAcentral.